AUGUCGGGUGUUUCUAAUGCUUCGUGGGGAUUUUUUUGUUGGAUCUACUUUUCUCACUUGGGGUUUGGCUGUCCAUUUCAAAUGAUUCAGUUCAGCUCGUGCACUUGCCGUGAGCAUGAUAUUGUUGUGGCAUGAACCUCACAUUCGUGGAUUGACCGUUCCGGUGUCUGCGGAAGUUUUGUUGCUGUGGCGUCUGCGAUCUGUUUUGCACACAGUAUUCAGCUGCUUCCGUAGCGUGCCUUAGGGAGAUUAUUUUGCAGGAAUUGUUUACAUGUAGAAUUAAUUGUUUACACAGUUUCCCGGUGCUGUUUUUGUGGAUCUAUACCACUCAUACUCAAAGAAGUACACAACAACAUAAUUCUACAAUUGCACUGCCAAUUCGUUGAUGAGUAGAAUUCAUGCAAGUCGCGUAUGUAAACAGUACGAGGAAAAGAUUCGAGCGAAGCAAAAUUCUCAGUAGUUCUAAAAGGGAAUUAGAGCUUAGAUUGAAUUACAGCUAAUUGUGAAUUAAAGUUGUUAAAUGCACUUGUGUUUUACUACAUAGCACAACAAAAAUCCAUUGCAAGUAGGACAACAUGGCACCUCAACAACAUGGUAACUGAAAAUUCAACAAUUUAAGUAAAAAUGCCCGGAAAAUGAGGUUAGUUGGUUUUCGGGUGCAAUUUUUCAUGUUUUUUGUAACCUGUCUAACACGUCCAAUUUGGCUAGCUUUUAAUCUAACACGGAUUCAUCCACUUAGUGGGCGCUAGAAGUAUACCCUAAUUGAUGCUCUUCCCUUUGCAAGAGGAUUACUCGCAACGGCUUCCUUUAAGCGGACAGAAUAAUACGCCCCGGUACAUCCUGCAAGGCCAAUUACGUCACUUUACGCUGACGCUUUAAUGCUCGCUCGACAAGAGAAACUGUGCUAAAAUAUGAUCAUAAAUAAAUUACACUGCUGCUCAUCCGAGCGUGGAAGGAAUUCGGUGCAAUACCGGAAUAACAAGGAUAACAAAAUUCUAAUUACAAGCACACGUUAUGAAGAAGCUCUACAGUAGGAUCAACCGGGUAGGGGUGGGUUUACUGUUGCGAUUAGGAUAUAAUGUAGCGGCUUUUGAUGAAUGAAGAAUGGUGCUCCUUCUGCUGACCAAACAUUGCGAGAAGUAUGCAAAACAUCAGUCCACGAUGGUGAAGGAACAAUUUUGGGUAGGGGAUUGUAUGGUUUCGGUAUUUUGUUUUGGCAUGAUACAAAUGUUUCACUCGCCCAACAUUGGCAAAGCAGCUCACUGUGCUGUGCACUGUGAGAAUAAAGUUAAAGAAGCGUUGAAUGAAAUAUAACCCACUGUUUAUUAAAAAAAAAAUUGAUGCUACCCUAGGAACGUGGGUAGGUUCUAACAAUGUGAAAAAGGAAAUAUAACCAAUUGCAGCACGUGCUCCUUAAGAUAUUUGGAUAAGCACACCUUCCCAUUUGCAUAGUUUGUUGCUGCAUUCUUGACUUUGAAUCCAAGCUUCGGGGGCCAACACUUUCAUUUACCUAUUGCAGGUCCUUGACCCGGCCCGGUCUGAUUCCGUUUGCUUAUCCAUCGGCAUCGCCGAAGCGAAGAGAAAUGUUAGUAAAAGCCAACUAGAUGGGCGGGAAGGUUUUAUCGAUCAGCAGUCGCUGCUCCCAGUGCCUGCUCCCAGGUUAGAAAACCGAAUUAACACACAUACCCAUUUGCCGGCUUCGAGAGGCUUCAGAGUCCGAUUCCUUCCGUGCGAUUGGAAGAUUUUCUCGGGCGCUGCAUGGCCUGGCGAAAGAGAAAGUUGUUUUUAAGUACCGUGCUGGGUGCGUAAUUUUCCGCAUUUUACUGUGUCAUCACUUCAUUAGACGGCGUGGCUUGUUUUGGGAGUAUCGGGAUUAGGUUAGGUACGGUCGUGCCGAGCACAUCGGUUGUUUGUGUGUGUUUUUUUUCUUUCAUCGGAACACUCUAAGGCACAGUUCGGUCGAAUCGGUAUAUCGUUGAUUUGCUGCGUCGCAGAAAGGUAUUUUUAGCUUUUUAUGUGCUAUCUCAAUCUCUCCGCAUUGAAAUGUGGGGAGGACAGAACCAUAAGUUUGUAAAUUGGAGCGCUUAACUGGCAUUUUUUGUUAUUCAAUCCUACCUGGAAAAGGUUAGCGGAAAGAUUCUUCAAAUCUUCAACGCCCUCGUUAUUGUUUUCCAAUUUGGUUGUGUGAACUUGAUGAACAUAAAAACUGCAAUCUUCCUCAAAGUGCCGUUCAAAAAACGGCGGCAUUUGCGUAAGUGGACGACAAAAAAUCAGACGACCAAUCAAAGUAAAGGCGGAGAUGGCGCAGACAACAACUAAAAAAGAGCGUAGAAAACAUGGACACUAAAUGUAGUGCCUUUCUAAUGAUUUCGUAGAUACACCAUUGAAUGUUUCUUUCACCUCGCCAGCACACAUUCCAUGUCGCUCGCACGGAAACGCACGGUCCGUCAAUCCGUUCUCGAGUUGCCUUGCCACAGCUGCUGCCCCUGUCCGUUCGUACUGUGAGGGAUCGCUGACGAAAUCUGACCGUUUGGAUCUCUUGACCUACAAAGCCGUCCCUACGGCCACGAGCGGGACGGCCCGCCCCGCAGCCGUAUGCGGGCCAAGUGGAUAAUGAUGGGUGAUGGGGAUCUCGUAACAAUGAGAUGCGCCAUGGACGGUUCCUUCUUCGCCGCACCCCGGAAAGGGCCGAUGAAAACGGGGUGGAAGGCGUUUCCCGUAGUUGGAAAAAUGGCCCGAAACGAAACCGUGCCACUCUUGUUGACCGGUACCAUGGCUACGGAUCUUUGUCAGUUAGCUACCGGAGUUGGGUGAGUUUUUUGUUGUUGCUGUUAAACAUCUAGUGUCUUCUUGUCCGAGAGAUCGUGACGUUCUGGGUGGAUUGAAAUGUGCCAAAAAUGGUGUCCGUAUUGAAAUUGAUUUAGCGUUUGGCACAUCGAUCGAUUUGGGACUUUGAACGAACCGGUAAAAAAAAUCGAACGGAUUAUUUCGAUUGAAUUUUGCCACAUCAAUUAGUGAAGGUUCAGCUCAGCGUAUACAGUUCGGUGCCGGUCUCGGUCAUGAUCUUGCGACUAAAAGCUAAGCUAGACUCAUGGCACGAAAUUAGCACGAAUGUAGCCGAUAGCUUACUUUCCGAAAGCCCUCACUACGGUCGAAGCCGCUCACAGCUUUCCAUUCCUUAAACCGCAGCCCCAGUCGGUAGGGGAGUAUCGGGCGUCUGCCUGGGGGGACGUUUCCUCCGAAGGCAACUGGCCGACAGCACAUUGCUCAUUGAACUUGAACUUUGUUGGCGCUAGCGGUAGGUCUUUCUCGAUUAUUUGCCUUUACCGUGGGCCGUGUGCUUUCCAUGCUCUGCAGUAAAACUGCAGCAACAGGAAACACGAUCUGCCGGCGGUCGAUCGACCCUUCAACAGAACCACUUUCCAUUGCAUGUAGCGACACUACACAACCGCACAUUGAGCAGUCAUAACCACCAGGCGGCGGUGAGGGCGAUGAAAAAAAAAUGAGGGGAAAAAAUACGACUAGUACAUUGACCGCUUGCCCGCUUGGUCAAAGUGAAAAUGAAACAUUUGCGCCGGUCACAUGUCACACACGGUGAAGCCAGUGAGGUUCACGUUGCUGCCAAGGGAAAGUGUUGCUUCGGUCGUGUUUGCGUGUAGUCCAAUAAAAGUGCCGCUAGUUAUAAAAUGUCGUUUGCAGCGAGCCGAGGUCUUGGCGUGAGUUCCAAAUGCUUCGAGGACAAACGGAAGGGUGAUAACAGCUUUUAUUGCGUAACCCACGUGCAACGUUGCUUUCGGAUCUUGUCAAGACAUUCCUUGACCGUGGGCAGAGACCAGUCCGGUUCCCACAGGUCAGAGCGUUUUGACUCUAAUUAGCUUGAACGUUAGUUUCCGUUUUAGGCUGAUGGUCAAUUACGACCUGCAAGUAAUACCAUGUGAACCAAAGCGAAAUGAUUAGAAGGUACGGUUGUGUUCAUCAAGUUGCUCUGAGUAGGAAUGGAAUAACUGCUGACUGAUUGAUAAACUAAACCUGCUGGUAAAUUAAUGAUAAGGAAAUUUUUCAAGUUUUUUUCAGUGUUUUUAGAAAAGUUUUCUAAGAAUAAUAUAUCUCAAUAAACUUAUGCUCAGUUCUGAGCAUGCAUAAUUAAUGCAUUAUCUAUCAAAA
Long non-coding RNA from Anopheles gambiae (African malaria mosquito), 4164 nucleotides. RefSeq lists it as uncharacterized. Lineage: Eukaryota; Metazoa; Arthropoda; Insecta; Diptera; Culicidae. The record is from RefSeq and is a predicted model, not a curated record. The transcript is spliced from 2 exons.